AUUGAACGCUGGCGGCAGGCUUAACACAUGCAAGUCGAGCGAGCGGCGGACGGGUGAGUAAUGUCUGGGAAACUGCCUGAUGGAGGGGGAUAACUACUGGAAACGGUGGCUAAUACCGCAUACUAUCAGAUGAGCCCAGAUGGGAUUAGCUAGUAGGUGGGGUAAUGGCUCACCUAGGCGACGAUCCCUAGCUGGUCUGAGAGGAUGACCAGCCACACUGGAACUGAGACACGGUCCAGACUCCUACGGGAGGCAGCAGUGGGGAAUAUUGCACAAUGGGCGCAAGCCUGAUGCAGCCAUGCCGCGUGUGUGAAGAAGGCCUUCGGGUUGUAAAGCACUUUCAGCGAGGAGGCGUUACUCGCAGAAGAAGCACCGGCUAACUCCGUGCCAGCAGCCGCGGUAAUUC
RNAcentral lists this ribosomal RNA (406 nucleotides) under uncultured bacterium. RNAcentral's name for it is "partial 16S ribosomal RNA". It matches the Rfam family "Bacterial small subunit ribosomal RNA", at positions 30 to 526 of the family's 1533-position model. The record is from RNAcentral.